Molecule: long non-coding RNA, 2165 nt
Filed under: Anolis carolinensis (green anole)
Lineage: Eukaryota; Metazoa; Chordata; Lepidosauria; Squamata; Anolidae
Description: lncRNA (ENSACAG00000041213.1)
Source: RNAcentral
AUGACAUUCCCAUGGGAAAUAAUGAGCAAGAGAGGUCUCAAGUCCCGGUUCAGGUGCAAGACAAUGAAGACCUUGAAUUAUCUAGGGUUGACCAGUUGUUAUAGAGAGGAUUUCAGGUCCGUAGGAGUGAGAGGCUGGCGGGAAAGAAAGAGGCCACUUCUGGGAAAAGAAAUGCCUUCCUGGGGUGCUUUUAAAAGUGUGUGUUUGCAGAUAGCUCGUCAUCAAAGCAAAUUGUCGCUUCAUCUGUGUGGAUGCUCUUGUUUCAUGCCUAAAAGAAGUUUCCUGGAUCUUUGUACUGUUGGGCCUUUGUUUUUGAGUGUGACAAAGAAGAAUAAAAACUUUGAAUAUAUUGUGGUUAAUUUAUAUCUGGAGAGACAACAUAUUGUGUAAUUUGAGAUAUCUGAAGAUAAGGGUUUGAAUCCUUGUUUGGCCAUUGCGAGAAAAGUAUGAAAAUUUCACACAUUUUAGACUGGAUUUUAUUAAAGGUUGCAAAAUUUGUAGAAGGAAGAGAAAAUCUAUUGAAUCCCCAUUGUAAAAUAAAGAGACGAGACACAAGGUAUAUGGAGAAAUAAAGGGCCAUUUAUUGACCUAUUAAAAACUGGAAAAUGCAACUAAGGAACUAGUUGGGCGGGGAGCACUGUGACAUGGGCAAUGGCCUGAGGCCAGGUAUAUCUGACUACCUGUCAAGCCAACCUCUGGGAGAAGCAUAUGACCCCAGGAGCACUCCACACUGAUGGUUUGCUAUCCUGGCUGGUCAUUAUUAGAAGGCCCUCCCUAGGGCUCUCCCUCCCAGGUCCCAGAACCCAAUAGGAGAGAGGUAAGCCCCCCAGGUAAGCCCCAAAGAAGAUAUUUUGGGGGACCCCUUAAGCCAUAGAACCUAUAGAAGUCAUCUCAAAAAUCCCCAUUCACCUCAAAAGAGAGAGAUGCUAAUAUGCACACUGAUCCAUUUUCUCCCCCCCACUUCCUGCCACAAAAAGACUCAGGCAUCUGCCUGGUGUCUUCUAUCCAUCAAAAUCUCUGAAGCAACCUCUAAAUCCGUUUAAAAAUCUGCGAAGAAUAUAUUAUUCCCAUCUACAGAUAAAUGCACCCUAUCUAGCCUAUAAAGCUCUGACUUUUACAAAACAAUAUCUGAAUGGGGGAGGUACUGACCCGAUAAUUUCUCCAUGCCCUUUCUCAUUUCCCUAUUUACUUUACAUCUAGUUCUCUCUAGUGCCCUGGGAUCACCUUUGCCCCUUCACACCAAGUGUGGCAACAUAGCUGAUCAGAUGAUAUAAAUUCCUGGCCCUAACCCUAACCCUAACCCUAACCCUAACCCUGGCCACCUCUUCUCAAUAUAAGCAAAAUCGUACUGUGCUUGAAGACUCAGAGCUUUUUCCAUCAAUAAACCCAGAUCAUUGACACCCAAGUGAACAAGGAGGAUAACAGGGGGUGGGCCCUUGCAUUCUUCAAAAAUUACUGGCAACAAAGCAUUCCAACGUAGACCGUGUUUGCCCAAACAUUCAACCAUGCAGAAUUCGGCCAAGCUCAAUUGUGAGCCAACAGGGCUUCGACGGGAUUGCCACUUCACCCAGUAGAUCAUACUGUGGUCACAGAUCAGGACCCUUUGAUGUAAAAAACUGGGUUUAAAAACUAAAUCUGUUUCUGGGAUUAUUUUGUGUAUCAUUAUCUCAUUGAAAAGGAUUAAUAAAUUUGGGAUAAUUCCCAUUUGAAAAGUUUUAUAGAAGCUUUUGGUAAGACCAUUUGGUCUGGAAAUGAAUUUGGUUUAAGAUUCUUGAUUACCUUGUUGAUUUCCUCAGUAGUUAUCUUCACUUUAAGUAGUAAUUGCUAUUGAAGUUCCAGACAUUUUGUUAUAAUUCCCACUUAUCUUUCCAUUUCCUUUUUGGUAUAUAACUUUUUGUGGUAUCUUGCCAUAAUUUCCUUUAACUCAUCAUCCUUGAAUAUUAGUUGAUCAUUUUCAUCUUUUAGUUUUACUAUUCUAUUACACUCUUUCUUUUUUAGAUAUCUUCCCAGUGUCUUAGAAUUGUUGGUAGAAUUCAUAUAGAGAUUGUUCUUAACAAACAUGUAUUUUUGUUACUUUAAUGUUAUCUAAAUCUUCUAUUUGCUUUUUCAUCUCCCUCCAUCUUUCUUUUUCUGCUCAGUUCUUCUGAAAUUACUGAAACAGGACA